This 253-nucleotide ribosomal RNA is filed under the name uncultured bacterium. RNAcentral's name for it is "partial 16S ribosomal RNA". It matches the Rfam family "Bacterial small subunit ribosomal RNA", at positions 524 to 776 of the family's 1533-position model. The record is from RNAcentral.
UACGUAGGGUGCAAGCGUUAAUCGGAAUUACUGGGCGUAAAGCGUGCGCAGGCGGUUAUGUAAGACAGAUGUGAAAUGCCCGGGCUUAACCUGGGAACUGCAUUUGUGACUGCAUGGCUAGAGUUUGGCAGAGGGGGGUAGAAUUCCACGUGUAGCAGUGAAAUGCGUAGAUAUGUGGAGGAACACCGAUGGCGAAGGCGGCAUUCUGGACCGAUAUUGACGCUGAGGAGCGAAAGCCAGGGGAGCAAACGGG